This 1001-nucleotide ribosomal RNA is filed under the name Pseudoalteromonas sp. Man6. RNAcentral describes it as "bacterial SSU rRNA". It matches the Rfam family "Bacterial small subunit ribosomal RNA", at positions 44 to 1063 of the family's 1533-position model. The record is from RNAcentral. Lineage: Bacteria; Pseudomonadati; Pseudomonadota; Gammaproteobacteria; Alteromonadales; Pseudoalteromonadaceae.
CGGCCUACCAUGCAGUCGAGCGGUAACAGAAAGUAGCUUGCUACUUUGCUGACGAGCGGCGGACGGGUGAGUAAUGCUUGGGAACAUGCCUUGAGGUGGGGGACAACAGUUGGAAACGACUGCUAAUACCGCAUAAUGUCUACGGACCAAAGGGGGCUUCCGCUCUCCCCUUUAGAUUGGCCCAAGUGGGAUUAGCUAGUUGGUGAGGUAAUGGCUCACCAAGGCCACGAUCCCUAGCUGGUUUGAGAGGAUGAUCACCCACACUGGGACUGAGACACGGCCCACACUCCUACGGGAGGCAGCAGUGGGGAAUAUUGCACAAUGGGCGCAAGCCUGAUGCACCCAUGCCGCGUGUGUGAAAAAGGCCUUCGGGUUGUAAAGCACUUUCAGUCAAGAAGAAAGGUUAAUAGUUAAUACCUGCUAGCUGUGACGUUACUGACAAAAAAAGCACCGGCUAACUCCGUGCCAGCACCCGCGGUAAUACGGAGGGUGCGAGCGUUAAUCAGAAUUACUGGGCGUAAAGCGUACGCACGCGGUUUGUUAAGCGAGAUGUGAAAGCCCCGGGCUCAACCUGGGAACUGCAUUUCAAACUGGCAAACUAGAGUGUGAUAGAGGGUGGUAGAAUUUCAUGUGUAGCGGUGAAAUGCGUAGAGAUCUGAAAGAAUACCGAUGGCGAAGGCAGCCACCUGGGUCAACACUGACUCUCAUGUACGAAAGCGUGGGGAGCAAACAAGAUUAGAUACCCUGGUAGUCCACGCCGUAAACGAUGUCUACUAGAAGCUCAGAACCUCGGUUCUGUUUUCAAAGCUAACGCAUUAAGUACACCGCCGGGAGAGUACCGCGCAGGUUAAAACUCAAAUGAAUUGACGGGGCCCGCACAGCGUAGAGCAUGUGUUUAAUUCGUGCACGCGAGACCUUACCUACACUGACAUACAGAGACUUACAGAGAUGGUUGUGCUUCGGAACUCUGAUACAGNGCUGCAUGGCUGUCGUCAGCUCGU